This 445-nucleotide long non-coding RNA is filed under the name Fukomys damarensis (Damara mole-rat). Its description in RNAcentral is "lncRNA (ENSFDAG00000023428.1)". The record is from RNAcentral. Lineage: Eukaryota; Metazoa; Chordata; Mammalia; Rodentia; Bathyergidae.
CUACUCUACGGUGCAUGUCUGGGCUAGAUGCAAAGCAAGGAACACAGUGGCAAUGGAAGAUGGGGGGUGUAUGAGUCACACAGCAAUGGGAAGAGCCAUACAGAGAGACCUAGAUCUCAGGGAACAAACCUGCUCAGUUUCCGGGCUACGAGGAACUGCGUGGGACUUUCAAACACUAAGAAUGUGACAGUCUCAGUGUCCUCCACACCACAACAUCCACACCCAGAAGUCCUCUGGGGAACAUAACAGCACAGGGCACAAGACACUGUACGUCCACCAACUUUGUGAUUCAGCACAACAGAGCGGAAAACUCAGAAGCCAGGGGCCACAGGCCAGAGGAACUUUGCAGUGAGCCCAGGGAACAGACAGAGGCCACCAUAAUCCUGUGAUAUUGAUCCUGAAAAGGUGGUGAGCCCAGUGAGGCCAAAAAACUAACAAACAAACC